CCAGUCGAAGAAUGCUGACUUAGUGCAGCCCUAUGCAGGAUGGCUGGAUUGAGAGAAAAAGCCGGUGCUGCAGUCAGAGGCAGCACAUGCUGCCGGGCUCUCAGCAGUGCGCCAUUGGGAGGCUGAGAGGAAGCCAAGGGGCUGACUUUGCUGGCUGCAGUCAGAGGUGAGGGGCAUGGAGCAGCUCGGAGUGUCCCAUGGCUCUGUGCCCCUCACUGCUGCCGGGGGGCUCCUGCUGCCGCCGCACCUCUGCCCAGCGCCCGCUGAUAAACCUGCACCCAAAGGACUACAGGGAACAAAUCUGGAGGGAAAAGGAAUGCCUUGAAGUCUCAGUAUGGAUUCAGAAGGCACUGGCUAGUCAUUGUCACACCCGGUGUAGGGGAAAGAAGGAAGAAAGCAUUGGUUUGUCUUCAAGAAUGAUGGGCAUCAGGUUCAUUCUUGGAUUUUCUGAAAAGACUUAUGUUUGA
Cyanistes caeruleus (blue tit) is the source of this 467-nucleotide long non-coding RNA. Lineage: Eukaryota; Metazoa; Chordata; Aves; Passeriformes; Paridae. The record is from Ensembl.